RNAcentral lists this ribosomal RNA (253 nucleotides) under uncultured bacterium. RNAcentral describes it as "partial 16S ribosomal RNA". It matches the Rfam family "Bacterial small subunit ribosomal RNA", at positions 524 to 776 of the family's 1533-position model. The record is from RNAcentral.
UACGGAGGGUGCAAGCGUUGUUCGGAAUUAUUGGGCGUAAAGAGCGUGUAGGCGGUUUAGCAAGUCAGAUGUGAAAGCCCUGGGCUUAACCCGGGAAGUGCAUUUGAAACUGCUUUACUUGAGUAUGGGAGAGGAGAGUGGAAUUCCUGGUGUAGAGGUGAAAUUCGUAGAUAUCAGGAGGAACAUCUGUGGCGAAGGCGACUCUCUGGACCAAUACUGACGCUGAGACGCGAAAGCGUGGGUAGCAAACAGG